This 14521-nucleotide long non-coding RNA is filed under the name Trifolium pratense (red clover). RNAcentral's name for it is "long non-coding RNA (TPRA_LNC009267)". The record is from RNAcentral. Lineage: Eukaryota; Viridiplantae; Streptophyta; Magnoliopsida; Fabales; Fabaceae.
UUGGAUCAUUAGUAGAAUGCAGAGUACCAAGUAGUUCUAAAUUGAACAAUUUUGAUUACACUGCUAUCAAUUGCAGAAAACACAGUGCAAUUUUGACAGAUUUUGGUGCUGUUGGUGAUGGAAAAACCCUUAACACAAAAGCAUUUAAUUCAGCAAUACCCAAACUUAGCCAAUAUGCCAAUGAUGGUGGUGCAUUACUUAUUGUUCCACCUGGUAAAUGGUUAACUGGCAGUUUCAAUCUCACAAGCCAUUUCACUCUCUUCCUCCAAAAAGAUGCUGUCAUUCUUGGAUCUCAGGUAUAUUUAUACCGUCACUCUUUUAUUUAGCAGCAAUUGAAUUAUUAUUUUAUAAUUGAUUAAAUGGUCGUCAUUACGACACAGGAUGAAGCAGAUUGGCCUGAACUUCCUGUAUUACCGUCUUAUGGACGAGGAAGAGAUGCACCUGAUGGACGGUUUAGUAGUCUCAUUUUUGGAACUCAUCUCACUGAUGUUAUAAUUACUGGUAACUAUACAGANNNNNNNNNNNNNNNNNNNNNNNNNNNNNNNNNNNNNNNNNNNNNNNNNNNNNNAGUAAUCUUCAAAAUUGACCUAUUUGAAUUUGUUAAUAAGGUAACAAUGGAACAAUUGAUGGACAAGGAUCUUAUUGGUGGGACAAGUUAAAAAAGGAAGAACUGAAACUCACUAGGCCAUACUUGAUUGAGAUUAUGUAUUCUGAUCAAAUCCAAAUAUCAAAUCUCACUUUGAUCAAUUCUCCAUCUUGGAAUGUCCAUCCAAUUUACAGCAGGUUUGAUAAUGUUCCAUAUUUAAUUUUCUAAACUUAAUGCAUUCUUUUUUUUUUUUUUGGUCAGGAANNNNNNNNNNNNNNNNNNNNNNNNNNNNNNNNNNNNNNNNNNNNNNNNNNNNNNNNNNGAAGCCUAGUGGCUAGAAAUUUCACCUUAAGGUGGAUAAGUGAGAUGUCCGGGGUUUGAACCUCGACCCCGACAUAUAAAAUGUGAUGUCCUUACCAACUGAGCUAAGCUCAUGGGGACAAACUUAAAGCAUUUUUUUUCUUAAUGUUAUACAAUAUUUCAUUAUUCUAAUUAAAUUUAUAUGUUCAGUAACAUAAUUGUAAAUGGACUUACCAUUCUUGCACCAGUAGACUCUCCAAACACAGAUGGAAUAAACCCAGGUAAUGUAUUCUUAUAGAUUAUUAUAUACUUUCUAUUCAAUGGAAUUAAAAUUAUGGCAUUCAUAUGAAAAAAAGUUCAGUCACGAUGUCUAAAAUAAUACUAACCAGCCACUAAGUAUUUUUGGUCACAUUUUGUUUUCUUGACAGAUUCAUGUACAAAUGUUAGGAUUGAAGACAACUACAUUGUAUCUGGUGAUGAUUGUAUUGCAAUAAAAAGUGGAUGGGAUGAAUAUGGAAUCAAAUUUGGAAAGCCGUCACAAAAAAUAAUCAUUAGAAGGCUAACAUGUAUAUCUCCUGAUAGUGCUAUGAUUGCAUUAGGUAGUGAAAUGUCUGGUGGAAUUCAAGAUGUUAGAGCUGAAGAUUUAACUGCCAUCAACACAGAAUCAGCUGUUAGAAUCAAAUCAGCUGUCGGUAGAGGUGGAUUCGUGAAAGACAUUUUUGUUAAAGGGUUGAAUUUGAACACAAUGAAAUAUGUGUUUUGGAUGACUGGUUCUUAUGGACAACACCCUGAUGACAAGUUUGAUCCAAAAGCAUUGCCUAAGAUUAAUGGAAUAAACUAUAGAGAUAUUACAGCUAAGAAUGUAACGAUUGCGGGACAACUUGAAGGAAUUUCUAAUGAUCCUUAUACAGGAAUAUGUAUUUCUAAUGUGACUAUUGAAAUGAGUAAUGUACAAAAGGUAGAGAAGGUACCAAAGAAGAAGCUUCCAUGGAAUUGUACUGAUAUUUCUGGAGUUACAAGUAAUGUGGUUCCUCAACCAUGUGAAUUGCUGCCAGAGAAAGAGAAAUUGGAAUGUCCUUAUCCAAGUGACAAAUUGGCCAUUGAAAGUGUUAAGUUCAAGACUUGUUCCUUCAAACACAAACUAUGAUGAAACUGGAUACUUAUAAAAAAACGGAGGGACUACAUAACAAUAUUGUUUUAUCUCGAUACUUAUCUAAUAUUGAAAUUGCUAAUUAUUAUAGGUUUUUUUAUUCUAGUCAAAUAAUUGGAAAACAAAAAGGAAUUAGGUCGAAAUACAAAGAUCACACAAGUAACACGGUGUACUAUAUGCGAGUUAUUUAACUAGAGAAUAAUCUACUUCAUAUCUUAGAUGUCUAAAACACCAAUCAACCAUGCUGAAACUUGUUCCACGAGGAGCUGGAAGGGUAAUGCAUUUUUGCAAUUUUUUAUCAUCCAAUGUAGACACACUACAAAUUGUAGACUCAUGAUUGAGUGCAUAAAUAGAGUUGCUCUCAUAUCCCCACCUAUUUGGGUUGCUCAAUGCAUAACAUUUACUCUUGAGAGGAUCCCAAACAUGAAAUAAUGCAAUGUCGCCCAAACUCUCAAGUUUGACAUAAUUCAUGGUUGAGAAGUCUAUCUUGUACACAUUCAUUAUUGUCUUGGAGGUAAAAUCAAAAUCAACCACUAAAAGUUGCUCAUCACAAUUAACCAAGCUAAGGUGUGAGGUAAUUACAUUGGGAGUACUCUUCAGUUUUAGAUAUCUAAUAUUUGAAGAAUUCAAGUUAAGUACUCCUAUAUUGGCCUUCUCAGUGAUAACAUAUAUUAUAUUAUGUAAAACCACAAAGUCAACAACACGACCUAGAUUUUUUAUUAUUGAAUAAGUAACCCAACCACGAUUUCGAGAUUGAUAAACUUUCAAAUGAAAAUUGCAUAAUAAAACCACUAAGACAAAUUCCUCAGAGCAUUUGGCAAAAGCAAGUAGGGCAGAAUUAAGGUAAAACAUGGAUUCAAUUUUAGAGGGAAUUACCUUCUUUGUUCUUGUAAACGGAUUAAUUAGCAGAAAUGAAUGAUCAGAAUCCACCAUGAUAAAAUAUCCGCUAGAAAACAUAAUAUGGAAGCCAAAGCACUUCAUCUUGAAGCAAUAAACUUUUUGCUCGGAUAUGCUAAUAAAGGAAAAGAAUUCUUUAAGACCACCCAUCGAAAAUUGAAAAAGUAAUGGUUUUUGAGAUGUCAAGAAGUUUGUCCAAUAAAUUUUAUGAAAAGCCCUCCAAUUCUUAGACACACCAGCAAACUGAAAGAGAUCAUCAAAAUCUAAUUUUUUGAUAAUGAUAUCAAGCACAUCCCAUGGAAGCUCAAGUUGAGAUGAAAGUGUGAUUCGAUGUUCCUUUGGCAUGAAGGUGUUGAAUAACAAAAUUAAAUUUGUAUGCCCUUUAAGCAACUCCUUCAUUCUUUUUGUUGAGGAGUUACCUCUAGCCUUGAAAUCUUUUACGAGUUUCACAAUCUCAUUAUGUUUUUCCUUCUUAUCUUUAAACGUAACUUGUAUUGCCUUAAGAAACGCCAAUGCAUAUGGAUCGUAGCGAACAACUCUAGAAGAAGACUUGUUGUUUUGUCGGGGAAUCUUCAUCUUUGUUGAAAGAGUGUGAACCCUAAUUCACAAUUGAAAGAGGAAGAAGAAGACAAUGGUUCUGUCUCCACCGAUUGAACAAUCUCACUCUGGCGCAAAACGGGCCGCUAGUAUAGCAUUAAUUACAAUGGGCUUAAAUAACUGUAUACUGGGCCGAUGAACUUGGGCAACUAAAACACAAAAGCCCAAUCCCAAACUCAACCCUAAUCCCAAAUCCACUUUCACCGAUUGCUUCAAAUCCUAGCAGAAUCGACAAGCCUCAUAAAACUGGAGAUGAGUAACUCAAUUGAGCGUGUUGAUAAUGAUGAAAAAUGUGUCUCAAAGAGUGAAGAAAUUGUUGAGUCGUCAAGAAAUGCGUACUCCGUCGUCUUAUGUAAAAUUCCGGCGAAAAGAGGUGCGGCGGAUUGGAACACAAAGCAAGCAGAUGUCUUGUCGAGAAUGAUCAAAGAAAAAGCAACAAUUUCUUAAAGAAACAACAUUCAAUUUUCUGCAUAAAAAAGGUACCGUUUUUACAUCCUAUUCUUUUUGGUUCUUCGUAUAAAGUAAGUUAUUAUUGUAAAAUUGGUUCAAUUCAGAUAAGUUUAGUUUAACUAAGUAGUGUUUGUUAACAAUAUUCAAUUGGGGAUAAGUUAAAUCUGUCAGUAUGGAUGAGAUGUCUUGAUGAUUCAAUUUUAUGCAUGAAAAAGGUACCAUUUUUUACAUUCUUGAUGAUUAAAAAUUGUUCAAUCUUCUGCAAGAAAAAAGAAAACACUUUAAUUGAGGAAACAUGCUAUAUGUCCCAAAACUCUGUUUAACACCAAUGUUUUGAAAGAUUAUUUUUUUCAUUGCAACAUACUGGUUUAUUUAUGAUUGAUACCUUGUUCGGAUUCUUGAUUAUUCAAGAACAUCUAAGCUUCUACUUGAAAAGAAAAACCAAGUUGGUUAGGUGAGCUAAAUGCAUUUUGAAUUAUAAAUUUCUAUUCAUAAAUAUGGGGAGGUAUAAUUUAUUUUUUGAUGAUGCAAAUGCAAUAUUGCAAACUGUGCUAGCUUGCUGAAAGUUUUUGUAUGAUGUAAAUUCGGAUCAAAAUGGUUAAAUGUCUAUUCAACUCUUACAUCCAGUUAUUAUUCAUUAUCGGAAUUUUGAAAUGGUAUCUUUAAGCUAUUGAUGACCCUUACUCGAUGACUUUAUAAAUUAUGAGAUGGUUAACAUUUUACUUGAUGACCCUUAAGUCCAAUUGUUGGUUGUAUGAAUGAUGGUUAUGGUGAUAUGUUGUCUUGACGACCCUUGCCUCAAUAUGUGGAUAAAUGGUUCCUCAAUUAAGUCCAAUUUCUAUUGGCUAUAUAAAUUAUUUGAUGGAUAUAUGUUGCUUCGAUGACCCUUAAGUCAAUUUUUUAUUGGACUAAAUAAGUUCUUAGAUGGUUAUACGUUGCCUUGAUGACCCUUGCCUCAAUAUGUGGAUAAAUGUUGCUUCGAUUAAGUCCAAUUUCUAUUGGUUAUAUAAAUUAUGUGAUGAAUAUAUGUUGCUUCGAUGACCCUUAAGUCCAUUUUUGAUUGGACUACAUAAAUUCUUAGAUGGUUAUAUGUUGCCAUGAUGACCGUUGCCUCAAUAUGUGGAUAAAGGUUGCCUUGAUUAAGUCCAUUUUCUAUUGCUUAUAUAAAUUAUGUGAUGGAUAUAUGUUGCUUCGAUGACCCUUAAGUCCAUUUUUUAUUGGACUAUAUAAAUUCUGAGAUGACCCUUGCCUCAAUAUGUGGAUAAAUGUUGCCUUGAUUAAGUCCAAUUUCUAUUGGCUAUAUAAAUUAUGUGAUGAAUAUAUGUUGCUUUGAUGACCCUUGAGUCUAUUUUUGACAGACUAUUCUAACUUUUAACAAAGUUAUAGUUUUACAUUAUUAUGCUCGUUAAUUUGCAACAUGGGUUGGAGUUCAAAUUGGUCUAAGAAAUACAAUGUUACACCAAGCCACUGCAAGUUGGUUUGCAUUUUAUCAUGUUGGUGUUACACUUACAUUUAUGUUUGCUGUAUGCUAAUCAUCAGAGUUUAUUUUACUUGCUUUCUAAAUUAAGUUUUUAUGUGACAUAUUAAUAAAGCUAGGAGAAUAGAGGCACCUGAUUAUCAGCUUCUAAUAUUUUCUUUGCCUCCUAAGGGAACAUACAGAACAGAACUCACUAAAAACAGGAAAUAUUUUUCCCAAAUUGUUGAAACUCGAAUGCUUAGUUUCCCUUGCUGAUUUGUAGUUAAGAGAGCUCAUUUCUUCAUGGGUUGUCAGAGAGUAUAGCAGCUCCAUUGGUAGAAGAAAGUAAAACUUGCGCCUUUCAAGUUCUUUAUCGGUUGAACUCAAUGGCCUACUUCAAGGUAGGUUGAGUCACAAACAAACUGUCCAAGAUUUCCUACCAAACAACUCAUAGUUUUCCAUUGGGCUAAACUUAAGGAGAAAAUGCAAGUAUAUUGGACCAGUUUCUGCAGUCUCCAGAACACGUUGAGGCGUUUACUACUAUUUAUUCCACUGAACAUUCAAGCGAAGAAAAUAUAAAGGAGGGUGAAAAAUGGAAAUUAAAACUUGGAUACCAUAUGGUAAUAUAUUACAGGAACAUGACCGCUACAUCAAAGUUGCACAUCUGGUUUACCUAUGAAGUACAGUUCUGCAGUCCCAUUUUCCUAUAUUUGUGGCAAUCACAGAUUGGUUCGACCAAAAUAAAACAACUCAGAUUUCAACUGUGAUUUGAGUCAAGCUAAACAGAUAAAAUGUGAGCUGUCUGAUCAUGAUAAUCUGAUUUCUGCACAGCAGGUGGGGUUGAAGCAAUCUGUGUUAACUUUGAUUACUCGGGAUAUUUAAUUCAUCUUUUAAAAGUCCCCACAAUCUAAAUGUUGCCUCAAUAUGUAGAUAAAUGUUGGUUAAAAGACCCAAAGUCGCAAAGCCUUGGGUAAAAAUAACACUUGGUGCUAUUAUUGUACUUAAAAGGUUUUUCGUUGCCUCUAUUAAGUCCAAUUUCUAUUGGUUAUAUGAAUUAUGUGUCGGAUAUAUGUUGCUUCGAUGACCCUUAAGUCCAUUCUUGCCUCAAUAUGUGGAUAAAUGUUGCCUCGAUUAAGUCCAAUUUCUAUUGGCUAUAUAAAUUAUGUGAUGGAUAUAUGUUGCUUCGAUGACCCUCAAGUCCAAUUUUUAUUGGACUAUAUAAAUUUUUAGAUGGUUAUAUGUUGCCUUGAUGACCCUUGCCUCAAUAUGUGGAUAAAUGUUGCCUCGAUUAAGUCCAAUUUCUAUUGGCUAUAUAUGUGAUGGAUAUAUGUUGCUUCGAUGACCCUUAAAGUCCAUUUUUUAUUGGACUAAAUAAAUUCUUAGAUGGUUAUAUGUUGCCUUGAUGGCUAUAUAAAGUCCACUUUCCUUUAACUCAAAUUGUGUAUGGUGAUUGAUUUUUUUGUUCUAACUAACUGCUUAAUCAGUACUACAUAGUAAAGUGCAAAGAGUGCAAAAUAUGAUAUGGUGAAAGCAAAGAGAUAUGAUUCUUUGCAAGGUAAAAUGGUUAACUCCAAAAGCCAAAAAAAGAAAAACCUUAGGAUAAGUCCUGGAAUUUGAAAAUUUUGAUCUCUAGAAAUAAUUGAGACUAAAGAAAGUACUGUGCAACUAAAAAGUGGGGGAUCAUCAUUAUAAAUAAUGUGAUUUAAUUGCAUCUAUAUACAAAAUUAAGUUUUAUUUUGGUAUAUAGAGCUACAACUAUGUGCAGGUGAAUUAAGUUGUGCAAAAAUGCUUGUGUUUUUCUUCACAGAAAAAAUGUGGUUUGUUUCUCCUUCUGGCACUACAAAAUGCUCUAAACCUCACCUUCUCCUUUCUGUUUUCUAUUGUUCUAAGUCACAAAGAACUGUAACUGCAGAAAGGGAAAGAGUUAUUCACUGCUUUGACUAUUAGGAUACCAACUUCUGAGGUACUAUCAAAUUGCCAAUGACUACGGUGCUAUUUUACAAGUUUAUGCCAAUUGAUUUCACCAUCCAAUCACUUGAAAGCACUCCACCUAUAUACCUACAAAAUUUUGAUUGUUUUUUCUUUCAACAUUUUGUCUGUCACUAUAUUAGGUUUUUUAUUCGCUAGAUGGUAUGUUUGAGCGAAUGAUGGUCCUGGAUUUAGAUGGUAAAGUGUAACCUCCAUGACCUUCAAGUUCAAUAUCUAUUCAAAAUUUAAUUCUUGGGAUGGUAUGUGCCUUGAUGAAAUGAAAUUCAUAAUGCAAAAUUAAGACAAGUUUCAGCCUCUUCAUUCAUCUGCAGUUGUGAUAUGACUUAAUUAUUUGCAAUCUAAAAUUGAGAUGGUAUGAUUUGAGCUUUGAUUCAAGGCAUUGAUGAUGUAACUGAUCAUGAGUUCCAUCUUCCAGUUUGUCUUUAUUUAUCAGAUAAUAGAAACUGAAGGGUGGUAGACACUGGUUUUUAACAAUUUGGACUAUUUGAUAGGCAUAUGAUAAGGUUGUAUUUAAAUCAAGUAAAAAGAGAGCUUGCAAAUAUUAUGGAGGAAGAUGUUGAAGUUAAAUUUCUGGCACUAGAUCAGCGCAAAAAGCUGAAAGUUCAGUCACCGUGUCUUCUUGGUUUAUCAAUAUGGUUCUAUGGAGUGAUAAUACAGGGUGCUACUUGGCUGAUGGUAUGUCAUUUUUAUAUUGCCGGAAUAAAUCUUGCUAAAUUAGUUUGACUUAUAUGGUAUAUACAAUCACAGGGAUAAUUCUUGCUAAAUUUUGCAGCCAGUCAUUUUUAUAUCCUGGCUUAAAAGAUGGGCUUGGCUUCCAUUUUUAUAACUGACACGUGCAUUUGAUGAAAUGCAAUUCAUAAUGCAAACUUGAGAGAUGUUUCAGCUUAUUCAUUCAUCUGCAAUUUGAAUUCUUUAUUCAUAAUAUGAGCUUUAUCAUCUAAAAUUGAGAUGGUAUAAUUUGAGCUUUAUGAUCUAAAUGAAAAAUGAUGAAAAAUAGAAAUGACAAGCAACUUUGCUUCUAAGAUGUGUGGUGGGAUUGGAUUUCAGUCUUCAGUUUCAUACCAUUGGUGAGCUGAUCGAUCAUGAGUUCAAUCUUCCAGUUUUUCCUUAUUUAUCAUAUGAUCGAAAGGAAGGGAUGGUAAACACUAUGGUUUUUUAACGAUUUGGCCUAUUUGAUGUGCAUAUGAUAAAGUUGUCUACAAAUGAAGUAAAAAAGAAAAAACGAGCCUACUAUAAAAAAAAAGAAGAAAAAAGAGCUUGCAAAUAUUUUGGAGAUGCAAAAAGAUCAAAGUUCAAUCAUUGUGUCCUAUUGGUUUAUCAAUUUGGUAUUUUGGAAUGACAAUACAAGUGCUGUUUGGCAUAUUUUAUAGUUUUUCUUUUGGAAGUCUAAUGUUGGUGUCACAUUUUUUGGUUUGGCUUCAUCAUUUAGAAGAAGCAUCCUUUUCCGGUAUAUUGGUGUCACUGUUACAUACUCUUGCGCACUGUUGUCUUCCGAAGUGCUUGACCUUGACUUGAGUUUUAGUUCUCUUCCUGAUUUUAUCCGUUGACUUUAUUCUAAAGUAGUAGCAUCGAUCUCGUAUCUGUGUUCUUAGUUUUUAAUUGGGUGGAAAUAAAAAGCUUGUGUUCACUCUAUUUUCAAGGUGAAUUUAGCUUUUCACCUUUAAUUCUUAUUUUUAUGAAUUUUUGCAUACCAAUUUGAUAUGGAAGGUCCAAAAUUUCCCUGAAAAAAGUGAAAUUCCCUGAAAUGAGAGAAUACCGUACUAUUAUAUUCUCGAUGACAAUGUGCAGCCAAUACAGCAUGCUUACUGCAUUUGUUUUAUGCAGAUAUAUUUUAAAGGCAAUACUAAGACCUAUUCUACACAUCUCUAUUUGUAUGGUCUUUGGGUGGCUAUGAUUAUGUACCAUUUAAGAUAAGAGAUUCUGGUGCAUCCUUAUGGAGUCGCUUUAGUUUUGAUGGCUCCAUUUUUUUACUAUUUUGCGGCUGGCAUGUUGUCGGUAAUAAUAAUUGAUUUGAAGGUUUUGGUCAGGUCUUGAAUUGAUACGUCCAGUUUGGGAGCAUCCAGCUCUUGUAUUUCCGUCCAAGUGCUUUGCAUAAUCCUUCCCCGAUGUUCGGCUGUUUUCGUGUGGCUUUGAGGUACGCAUCUGUGUUCAUAGCAACAGUUAGGUUGUAUCUCAAAAUCCUCGACCCAUUGGCUGUCGAGUUGUAGAAAUUGCUUUCCUCUUUCUGCGUUUUUUCGGCAGUUUAGUUGCCUGGGCAGAGAUCCCUUACUGGUUGUAAUGACUAGCUUAUCUCAGCUAUGAGUUACAGGCCUUCUGAUUUUGUGUAGCAGAUGGACCUUUUUGAAUUUAGUGUUAGGUAUUGAAAAUCAAUAUGUUCAUAUAUUUCAUUCUAUUAGGAAGCACCCACUACAAUUCUAUUUGCAGUGUUUUUGUUCACAGCGGUGAAGUUCAUGAUGGACACUACUAUACUCAUGCAAGUCUGUACAAAUAUAACUGAACUUUCAAAGGCUCAUAUUUGUAUGCCAUUGUGAGAUUAAUUUUUUUUCUUCAUAAUUUGAGGGAUGUUAAUUAUGAGCCUAAUAACCCGAAAUCUGACUCCAACAUGGAUACUUUGUUCCUUGAUUCUUGUACGGGAUGAGAUGCCUGGAUAAUGCUUAAGGAAACUGAAAUAUGAACUCUUUAUUCAUAAUGCACUAUUGGAAUGGAUGGUAUGUUUGAGUCAUUGAAUGUGCACAAAAUCACUUAUGCAUUCGUUCGUAAUUGUAGAGUUGUUUGCGUAAUGGUGUCGGCUUAUUUGGUGACUUGUAGUUUUUUCUCUUGAUCGGAUUUAAAAUAUCAUAUGGUUUUGCAUUUUCCUUUUCAUUGUGUGUGGAGUGACAGUAUAGAUAGGCCAUGGUGCUACAACCUUUACUUGUGCAGUUUAAAUUCUCAGUGGGAUCACAAAGAUGUGAAGUGUCUUGGCUGGAUCUUGCAAUGUUUUUUACUGCAGACCUAUGAUAAAAUGAGGGAUUCAUUGGUUGCAAUCAAUGGCUUAAAUUUGGUGAGUGUUGGUAUAACAAUCACAUAGCGUCUCCGGGUUUUAGGAGGUCCUGUGCAAAAUAUAAAAGUGGCUCUUUAAUAUAAAUUUUUUUUUUUUUUUUAAAAGCUGUCGAUUUAAAUUGCGUAGAAUAUAAAAAAAUCAUUUUUAUUCUUGUAAACAUAUAGAUUAUCAAUAUUAAACCAAUUGCAUCAAAUCAAAUGGGAUAAAAAAUACAAAAUAAUUAUCUUUGUAUAUAACUUCAAAAAGGAACCUCAUAAUCUAAGUUUAAAUUUUAUGGAAAGAUUAAAAUGGACUAAAACUAUAUUUACGAGUAUAGAUAAUUAAUCUAUUGAUACUCAUAUGAUAUUAUAUGAACAUUAACAAUAUAUANNNNNNNNNNNNNNNNNNNNNNNNNNNNNNNNNNNNNNNNNNNNNNNNNNNNNNNNNNNNNNNNNNNNNNNNNNNNNNNNNNNNNNNNNNNNNNNNNNNNNNNNNNNNNNNNNNNNNNNNNNNNNNNNNNNNNNNNNNNNNNNNNNNNNNNNNNNNNNNNNNNNNNNNNNNNNNNNNNNNNNNNNNNNNNNNNNNNNNNNNNNNNNNNNNNNNNNNNNNNNNNNNNNNNNNNNNNNNNNNNNNNNNNNNNNNNNNNNNNNNNNNNNNNNNNNNNNNNNNNNNNNNNNNNNNNNNNNNNNNNNNNNNNCAAAUUUGGGAGGUUUGCCGGUCAGGUGUUUGACGUCAAACCAUCGUGUUCCUAUUUCCACAAACAAAAGGGAGAAGAUAGAAAACUUAUUGUGUUUGAAAUUUUGUAUUACCGAAAAUACUCCUCGGUACUUAGUUGAAGGUAACCUGUUCUAGUGGGUCAUUUGAACAGGUCCAUCAGUGGACCUUUAUUUUUGAGGUUCAUAUUAAGGGCUCCCAUAAAUAAUAUAUAAGUAAUAUUACAGGACCUCAAAAUUUUGAAUUGAGGCCCGAUGCCGUCGCCAGGGACGGAUCUAGACAUGAAAAUCUGGUGUGGCUAAAAUCUUAAAGAAACAAUGAACUAAAUUAUACUGAAAAUAAGAUAUAAUAUUAUUAAGUACAAUAUAUUUACAACGAAAAUCGUCUAUCAUCCAUUUGUUGAAAAUGAGCUAAAAUGACAUCAAUGUCAAUUGUUGCAAGAACAUCUCUUUCUAUAAGAGUUACAAGACGGUCAUUUAACCAUUGAUCACUCAUUUUGUUACAUAGAAAACUCUUUACUAAAUUAAUUCAUAGCUGAAAAAAUGUGUUUCACACUUGCAGUUGCUACCGGCAAGACUAAAGCCAACUUCAAAAGUUUAUAAACCAAAUCAUAUGUGUUGCACUUAUUUGUUUACACAAGUUUUGCACAAAGAUCUAAAAGUCCUUUUAAAUUUGCAAAAUUUGUGUCCUUUCGAACAUAAGAAUUAACGUGGUACAAUUAUUUUUGUUAUGACUAAAAAUUGUAUAUUUUUUAAGAAACUAUUUUCUCCUACUUUAAUUAUAAUCAAAUAUUCACUUUUUAAACUAAUUGAAUAAAUGAUAUAUUUUUUUUGGCAUUAGUCCCUUGAUUUCCGUGCGAAGGGAGUCCGAUAAUACAGAGUUCGGCUGCGAUGUUAGAAAAAUUUGGCUAAGAAUUGUUCCCACUAAAAAUCAAACUCGAAUUCUACCAAACGAUAUUUCCUAAAAAAAUAAAUGAUGUAUUUGAUGAAUAAUAAUAAUGAAAAAGAUUGUAUCCAACUUAUACCGACUAAUAUUAUACAAAGAAUGAAAAUAAUCAUGCAAAAUGGUUGUUGGGCUAACCAAUGCGACACGAUAAUUACUCACACAAUUUUUCUCUUUCAUUACAUAUAUUUUUAUAAAAGAAAAAUAUGAAAAAUCUGGUGUGGCUUUAGCCACACACAGUCCCUUAGUGUGUCCGUCCCUGGCCGUCGCACACCUUGCACAUGUGUGCAAGCCGCCCCUGCAUAGCAGUAUAUUGAGUUUAAUGAAUAUGCUCUGUCUAUGUGAAUUCAUUUUACACUGACAUCCAAUAGAAAUCAGACAUUCCGCCAUACCAUAUAAUUAAAGUGGGUGUAGUGAGGUGAUUUGGGGGAUACAUAGUUGCUAUUAGAUGACAAUAUAAAAUUAUUUUACACUGACAAUACGUAUCCUAUUUCUCCCCGUAUAUUUGUGUUGAUAAUUGUAGGUACAAUACAACAAUUGCAAAUUGCAAUUGAUGAAUUGAUCAUGUAGGUGGUGCAGAGCCUUUAGAUUAUGCAAAGCAUAUUAAUCUUGAAGAUUUUGAAAGACUUUGUGAGAUUGUAUUGAUUUUAUGAGAUUUUAGAAGACUUUUUUGAAUGAUUUUUUCAAUCAAGAUUCUUAAUACAAGAAUUUGUGAGACUUUAUGACACAGACUUUUGAGAUUUCGGAUUACUUUAUAAACUUUUGAAAUUUAAAUGAGUCAAUAAAUUCGAUAUAAAUUCAUUCUAAAAUAAUAAUGAAUGAAUUAAUGAAAAUUAAUCAUUCCUUAAAAAAAAUCAACAAUCAUUAAUAUAAUAAAAAAAAUCAAUGAAUAAAAUUCUACCAAAAAAAUAUCAAUGAAUAAACAAAAAAACAAUUUAAAAAAAAAAUGACGAAGUUCUGUUGCUGUUAAUGUUGUAACAUGUUGUUAUUGUAUAUAGUAGUAUUAUUUUCAAUGUCUCUAUAAUGAAUCGUGACAGUAUAUUGUAUACAACGAUUAUUGGGUUUCAUGUUCCAUAUAUUGAUUUGCUUUGCGUGAAAAGAAUGAUGAACAAUAUUUCAAACUGGUUAUAAUAUCGAUUCAAGCAGUAAGGAAGAACUUGAUGGUGGGAAAGAAAAAAAGUCUUGGAAAAUCAUGAAAAGUCUCAAGGGUUUAGGUGGGAUUGUUGGAUUAGAGUUUUAUGUGUAUUUUGAACUAAAAAGUCUUUCAAAAUCCAUCGCAUAAAAGAAUCCAUCAAAAUCUGUAGACUUUUGAAUACCAAUAGACAUUUUUAAAAAGGUGAGAAAUCUUAAUUGAAUACCAACAGAUUUUGUUGCCUUGAAAAAAAAUCUUAAUUGUCUUAAUUGAGUACCACAUGAUUUACUUAACUUUUGUAAAAGUCUUGAUUGAAUACCACAAGAUUUUUUUAUCAGAAAAAAGUCUUUUAAAAUCCCAUGAAAUCUUAAUCAAAUACACACCUUUCUUAAUCGUAAGGGGAUUUGAGCCCUUAAACAUUUUGGUCAGAGAUUCGAUCUCUGACUUUUACAUAUGGAGAAAAAUCGGUUGAAAGAGAGAGAACGCGAUUUGUAUGACUCACAAUUUUCGUGACGGAUAUUAUGACAAAAAAAACAUUUUUUGUCGAAAAAAAUAAUUUUCGUUUUAUAUGGUCUCCGUACAAUAAAUAAAAUUUAAUCCAGUCAAAAACAAAAUUGAACUUGGUAAACUAAUAAAUUAUAGCCAUAAAAGAUAAUAAUGUUGAUUGAAAACUUCCUAAACGGUUCAUAUUUUCAUAUUAUGCAUCAUAAAAUACAUUAUUAUAGUCAUAAUAAUCCUCUAUAUAUAUAUCGACCAUAUACCUGUGGUUUCUCUUCUAACUACAAGCAUCAUGUCUCAUCAAAACUUCUAUGUAAUUUUCUUUAUAACUUUAUACAUUCUUUGUUCUCAUGAUUUUGAUCAUCUUAUUAACCAAAUUUUGGUUUGUGUAUUGUUCGUAUACUUGUUCUAUGUCACUUUCUAAAUAGUUUUUAUGUUGCAUUUUUUUUUUGUCUAACCGUUACAUGUAAUGAUUAUUAUUUUGUGUAUGCAGAUUAUUAGUGUGAUCUCUGCAGUUCUGAUAUUUGGAUCAUUAGUAGAAUGCAGAGUACCAAGUAGUUCUAAAUUAAACAAUUUUGAUUACACUGCUAUCAAUUGCAGAAAACACAGUGCAAUUUUGACAGAUUUUGGUGCUGUUGGUGAUGGAAAAACCCUUAACACAAAAGCAUUUAAUUCAGCAAUAACCAAACUUAGNNNNNNNNNNNNGAUGGUGGUGCAUUACUUAUUGUUCCACCUGGUAAAUGGUUAACUGGUAGUUUCAAUCUCACAAGCCAUUUCACUCUUUUUCUCCA